UCCUGGCUCAGAUUGAACGCUGGCGGCAGGCCUAACACAUGCAAGUCGAGCGGCAGCACGGGUACUUGUACCUGGUGGCGAGCGGCGGACGGGUGAGUAAUGCCUAGGAAUCUGCCUGGUAGUGGGGGAUAACGCUCGGAAACGGACGCUAAUACCGCAUACGUCCUACGGGAGAAAGCAGGGGACCUUCGGGCCUUGCGCUAUCAGAUGAGCCUAGGUCGGAUUAGCUAGUUGGUGAGGUAAUGGCUCACCAAGGCGACGAUCCGUAACUGGUCUGAGAGGAUGAUCAGUCACACUGGAACUGAGACACGGUCCAGACUCCUACGGGAGGCAGCAGUGGGGAAUAUUGGACAAUGGGCGAAAGCCUGAUCCAGCCAUGCCGCGUGUGUGAAGAAGGUCUUCGGAUUGUAAAGCACUUUAAGUUGGGAGGAAGGGCAGUUACCUAAUACGUGAUUGUUUUGACGUUACCGACAGAAUAAGCACCGGCUAACUCUGUG
This 497-nucleotide ribosomal RNA is filed under the name uncultured Pseudomonas sp. RNAcentral's name for it is "bacterial SSU rRNA". It matches the Rfam family "Bacterial small subunit ribosomal RNA", at positions 17 to 507 of the family's 1533-position model. The record is from RNAcentral. Lineage: Bacteria; Pseudomonadati; Pseudomonadota; Gammaproteobacteria; Pseudomonadales; Pseudomonadaceae.